UUCUUGUGAUUAGCAAUCAAGGACAGUUUCUCAGCUAAUCAGCACAGGAAGAAGAGCCUAUUGUAACAGACAAUAAAGGAACAUCUUGCAGACAGCCUAUCGUGAGACUUCACCUUGUGAUCAUAUUACAAGACCGAAUAAGAUAGACAUGACCUCCUUCCACCUGGACCUGAUCAUUGUUCCUCUAAAUCACUUCCACACAUGCAUUGCCUGGGGACUGGGGACUGGAUCCCAUGGCCAGACCAAAUCCCAAAGGAAGCUAUUGGAGAAUACACACCUUCAAAAUGAGGAGAAACAUACGAAAAGGAAGAUAAGAAUUCAAGAAGCCGGGCAUCCAACAAUAAUAACUAAAGAGGUAAGGUAAUUCUCAGGAUGACGUAACAGAAAGUCCAGAUUGGUGAAAGACAAUGAAGAACUAUAAGAGGUUUGUACUCCGAAAAGAAGAAGGAAAAAAGUGGAACUCACAGUCUGUCUAAAGUUUUUGACCAUGUUUCAAGGAAGUAUAUGGUUCUGUGCAAAGCUAGCAAAAGGUACAUUAAAAAAAUGAGAAAACAACAAAAUCAGGCAAUUACCAACUAAAAGAAGUAUAAAGAAUUUGGUACAAAAAAGGAAAUUAAUAAUGCACUACAUGCUAACUUGUUAACAAUUUUUACAUAGUACCAAUACGAUAAAUACAAUGUUAAUUUCAAACUGCAAUUAAUUAUGCUGGAAGGAUGUGGGAAGUGGGAGUCUUAAGAGAGUUAAAUUAUAAUCUUCACAACAGGAAGUCAACAGAUAAUACCUACUGAAUAUUUCUACUUUUUGGAGGGAUGUUGGGUUGGGGAACUACUAUUUCAUUUCCUUAAAGUACCAUUUGGCUUUUUAAAUUGCCUGUGCACAUGCAUAUACAUACAUAAUCUAAAGCUAAAUUUUUAAAACCA
Molecule: long non-coding RNA, 920 nt
Filed under: Pongo abelii (Sumatran orangutan)
Lineage: Eukaryota; Metazoa; Chordata; Mammalia; Primates; Hominidae
Description: lincRNA
Source: RNAcentral